GCGGAACUGCAUUGGUGUAAUGAAGAGUGGAUAAAAGAGUCAUGUGAAGGUAGGGUAUACAGGGAAAUGAUGGAUGGGCCAGCACACCGUCAAGGCAGCGCUUCACUUGACCGAUUCCAAAAGAACAUGGAGAAGAAGGAGAAGAGGCCAGUGGGUAUAUUUGAGGCUUAUGCAGAAGCAAGGAAGAAUGGAAAAGAUGGAGAGGACUAUUGUACUGACCGUGUCAAGGGAAGCUUAUUUUGGAGUUGUUAAGGAAAAGCAUGGUGCAAGUCCUGAUUUGAUGAAAUAACCCAUUGAUGGCGCUUCAAUCUGCGAUGAAAGCUAAUGUUUUGCCUCCACGACCAGCGGCCCCAACAUGCCCCACUGUCUAUU
Molecule: non-coding RNA, 372 nt
Organism: Oryza sativa Japonica Group (Japanese rice)
Lineage: Eukaryota; Viridiplantae; Streptophyta; Magnoliopsida; Poales; Poaceae
Source: RefSeq, a predicted model, not a curated record